This 417-nucleotide ribosomal RNA is filed under the name Triticum aestivum (bread wheat). RNAcentral describes it as "partial small subunit ribosomal RNA". Lineage: Eukaryota; Viridiplantae; Streptophyta; Magnoliopsida; Poales; Poaceae. The record is from RNAcentral.
AUGCUCAUCCUCCAUAGCUUCGGUAACACCUCGGGCCUACGGAUAAACCUUGCUAAAUCUAUGGCCACGCCGAUCCACUGCAACAACAUCGACCUAGAACUAGUUCUUCACGCUUUCCGCGGUCCGAUCGCCCACUUCCCAAUUAGAUACCUAGGUCUACCCCUCACCACGGGCCGGCUACGCCUAGUUCACCUACAAUUCAUCCUCGACCGUGUCCGGGCCCGGCUUGCGGGGUGGAAGGGACGGAUGCUUUCCAUGGCGGGCAGGCGCGUACUUGUCCGCUGCGUCCUCUCGGCACCGCCCACCUUUCCCCUCACAGCGCUGCGAGUCCCCAAGAAACUGCUGAAGGAAAUUGACAAAUGCAGACGACGCUUUCUUUGGGGGAAGGACCAAGAGCUCUCCGGCGGUAGCUGCUGA